This 84-nucleotide transfer RNA is filed under the name SAR324 cluster bacterium. RNAcentral describes it as "tRNA-Leu". It matches the Rfam family "tRNA". From Rfam's summary of the family: Transfer RNA (tRNA) molecules are approximately 80 nucleotides in length. Their secondary structure includes four short double-helical elements and three loops (D, anti-codon, and T loops). Lineage: Bacteria; Deltaproteobacteria. RNAcentral also lists the same sequence under 1 other name. The record is from RNAcentral.
GCCGCGGUGGUGGAACUGGUAGACACGCUAGCCUUAGGAGCUAGUCUUCUCACGGAGGUGCGAGUUCGAGUCUCGCCCGCGGCA